RNAcentral lists this ribosomal RNA (224 nucleotides) under uncultured bacterium. Its description in RNAcentral is "partial 16S ribosomal RNA". It matches the Rfam family "Bacterial small subunit ribosomal RNA", at positions 118 to 351 of the family's 1533-position model. The record is from RNAcentral.
UGGAUCAUCUACCUUCAGGUGGGGGAUAACCCGGGGGAAACUCGGGCUAAUACCGCAUAACAUCGCGAGAUCAAAGGGGCGCAAGUCCCGCCAGAAGAGGAGUCCGCGUUCGAUUAGCUAGUUGGUAGGGUAAUGGCCUACCAAGGCCACGAUCGAUAGCCGGCCUGAGAGGGUGAUCGGCCACACUGGAACUGAGACACGGUCCAGACUCCUACGGGAGGCAG